UAUCAAUAAGCGGAGGAAAAGAAACCAACAGGGGAUUGCCUUAGUAACGGCGAGUGAAGCGGCAACAGCUCAAAUUUGAAAUCUGGCGUCUUUGGCGUCCGAGUUGUAAUUUGUAGAGGAUGCUUCGGCGUAGGCGCCGCCUAAAGUUCCUUGGAACGGGACGUCGUAGAAGGUGAUAGCCCUGUGACAGGGCGGAUGCCGUCGCCAUGUGAAGCUCCUUCGACGAGUCGAGUUGUUUGGGAAUGCAGCUCAAAACGGGAGGUAAAUUUCUUCUAAAGCUAAAUACCGGCCGGAGACCGAUAGUGCACAAGUAGAGUGAUCGAAAGAUGAAAAGCACUUUGGAAAGAGAGUCAAACAGCGCGUGAAAUUGUUAAAAGGGAAGCGCUUGCGGUCAGAACUUGGCCGCCGUUGCUCGGGGAGGUCUCGUGCCUCCCUCGCUCUUCGGCGGCUGGGCCAGCAUCGGUUCGGGCGGCUCGAUAAAGGCCGCGGGAACGUAGCUCCCUCCGGGGAGUGUUAUAGCCCGCGGCGGAAUGGGGCCCGCCUGGAUCGAGGUCUGCGCAUCUGCUCGGAUGCUGGCGUAAUGGCCUCAAGCGGCCCGUCUUGAAACACGGACCAAGGAGUCUAACAUUCGUGCGAGUGUUCGGGUGUCAAACCCGUGCGCGCAAUGAAAGUGAACGUAGGUGGGAACCCCUCGUGGGCGCACCAUCGACCGAUCCUGAUGUCUUCGGAUGGAUUUGAGUAUGAGCACGUAUGUUGGGACCCGAAAGAUGGUGAACUAUGCGUAAACAGGGCGAAGCCAGAGGAAACUCUGGUGGAGGCUCGCAGCGGUUCUGACGUGCAAAUCGAUCGUCAAAUUCGCGCAUAGGGGCGAAAGACCAAUCGAACCAUCUAGUAGCUGGGUUCU
RNAcentral lists this ribosomal RNA (904 nucleotides) under Muyocopron sp. MFLU (CC) 10-0041. RNAcentral describes it as "eukaryotic LSU rRNA". It matches the Rfam family "Eukaryotic large subunit ribosomal RNA", at positions 41 to 959 of the family's 3401-position model. Lineage: Eukaryota; Fungi; Ascomycota; Dothideomycetes; Muyocopronales; Muyocopronaceae. The record is from RNAcentral.